Molecule: ribosomal RNA, 406 nt
Filed under: uncultured bacterium
Lineage: Bacteria
Description: partial 16S ribosomal RNA
Rfam family: Bacterial small subunit ribosomal RNA
Source: RNAcentral
AUUGAACGCUAGCGGCAGGCCUAACACAUGCAAGUCGGACGAGUGGCGGACGGGUGAGUAAUGUAUGGGGAUCUGCCUAAUGGCGGGGGAUAACUACUGGAAACGGUAGCUAAUACCGCAUACCAUCAGAUGAACCCAUAUGGGAUUAGCUUGUAGGUGGGGUAACGGCUCACCUAGGCGACGAUCCGUAGCUGGUCUGAGAGGAUGAUCAGCCAAACUGGGACUGAUACACGGCCCAGACUCCGACGGGAGGCAGCAGUGGGGAAUAUUGCACAAUGGGCGAAACCCUGAUGCAGCCAUGCCGCGUGUAUGAAGAAGGCCUUCGGGUUGUAAAGUACUUUCAGUAGAGAAGCGGUACCGACAGAAGAAGCACCGGCUAACUCCGUGCCAGCAGCCGCGGUAAUAA